AAUCCUCAGUUCUUGAAGCAAAUAAGUGAGCCAAAGAAUUUCAGAGGUUGCUGAAGCAAGAGCUCGAUAUUCAGACUCUGCUGAGGAACGGGAAACAAUUGUUUGUUUCUUAGAGGACCAAGAAAUAAUGUUGGAGCCUAAGAAUACACAAUACCCUCCAGUGGACUUCCGAUCAUCUGGAUCUGCUGCCCAAUCAGCAUCAGAAAAUGCUGUUAAGGUCACAGAACCUGAAUUGAAAAACUGAAUGCCAAAGUGUGAAGUGGAUUGUAGAUAUCGAAGGACUCUUUUACAAGCUUGCCAAUGAGAAAUGGUUGGAUGAGCCAGAAAUUGACUGAGCUUGUUGACAGGGUAUGCUAUGUCAGGCCUUGUCAGCAACACAUAUUGAAGAGAACCCACAAUACUUUUGUACAAUGAAGGAUUAUCAAAAGCUGCACCACUGUUCUUUUUGAGCUUAUCACCUGGACUCAUAGGAGUGUUAAAACCUUUGCUAUCAAGCAUAUUAGCUUUGCUAAGGAUAUUACCAAUGUAUUUGGUUUGAGAUAGAUGCAACCCCUGAAUUGAAGGUGUCACUUCAAUGCCAAGAAAGUAGUUAAACUCUCCCAAAUCCUUAAGAGCAAAUUCAGAAUGGAGGUAUUGAAUGACAGCCUCAAUAUGGUGAGAAUUAGAACCAGUGACUAAAAUGUCAUCAACAUAUAUAAGAAUGAGCACCAUAUCAUGCCCAAAAUGUUGAAGGAACAGAGAGGUGUCAGACUUUGAAGAUUGAAAUCCCUUAUUGAGUAAGGAACCUUUUAACCUCUCAUACCAAGCUCUAGGAGCUUGUUUGAGUCCAUAUAAAGCUUUGUUUAAUUUGCAAACAUAAGAUGGAUGUGCAGAGUCUAUAAAACCUUGUGGCUGAUGCAUGAACACAUCUUCUUCUAGCACACCAUUUAGAAAAGCAUUAUUGACAUCCAGCUGCCGAAUCUGCCAAUGAUGCAUCACUGCUAGACUUAAAACAACCCUGACUGUGCAAGGUUUCACAACUGGGCUGAAGGUUUCAAAGAAAUCCACCCCUUAAGUUUGAUGGUAACCCUUGGCAACCAACCUGACUUUGUACUUAGAAAUGCUCCCAUCAAGAUUAUAUUUUACCCUAUAUACCCAUUUGUUGCCAACUACUUUAGCAGCACUUUCAGAGGGUACCAAAGUCCAGGUUUGAUUUUGUUGAAGAGCAUCAAAUUCCUCCUUCAUAGCAGGAAACCACUUGGGGUCUUGCAAGGCACUUUUAACACAAGUUGGUUCAAGAUCUGCAGUAGCUGCUAGAUAGGACUUGGGUUUGAAAAUACCAGCUUUAGCUCUGGUAAUCAUAUGAUGAGAUGGUAAUGAAGAUAAGUGAGUUGGCUCAGCUGAAGGAAGGGAAAAAGAAGAGGUCUGUAUUGAGCUGAAACUUGUUGAAGGAGACAUUGCUGGAGGAAGAUUAGUAGAUGGUGACUCUACAUUGCUACUGUCAACAUGAGCAGAAUUCUGAAGGAAAGAGAGUUGUACUGGUGAAGAUAAGCCAGUAACAUCUGAGACUUUUGAGAUUGAGUGCUUAGAAAAUAAAUCUUUGUAAGGAAACUCAGUUUCAUUGAAGAUAACAUACCUAGCAAUGAACACUUUACCAGAGGGAGCUAAACACUUAUAACCUUUAUGAAGUGGACUGUAACCAAUGAAGAUGCAUUUUUGGGUAUGAAAGUUGAGUUUAUGCUGGUUAUAAGGCCUGAGAAAUGGAAAACAGGAGCAACCAAACACUUUAGGAAAUUGGUAGUCAGGUAGUUGAUUGUGUAGUUUCUGAAAUGGAGAUAGAUUGUUUAGAACUGAUGUGGGCAUCCUGUUGAUCAGAAAGGAGGCAGUAUGAAAAGCUUCCCACCAGAAAGAAAGAGGCAACUGAGAUUGAGCUAAAAGUGUUAAGCCUGUUUCAACAAUGUGCCUGUGUUUCCUCUCAACAACACCAUUUUGAUGGUGUGUGUAUGGACAGCUAUGCCUAAAACAUAUACCCUCUUGCUGAAGAUAGGUUUUAAAGGCUAGAAACUCACCCCCCAUAUCUGACUGUAAUGUUUUGACAGGUAAAGAAAACUGCUUUUCAACAAGAAGUUUGAAGUGUUUGAAGGUUUCUAAGGCUUCUGACUUUGCUGUGAGAGGAAAGAUCCAAGAAUAACGUGUAAAAUCAUCCACAAAUGAGAUGUAAUAUCUGUAUCCAUUCAUUGAAAAUUCAGGGGCUGGUCCCCAUAAAUCUGUGUAUAAGAGUUCAAGUGGUGCUUUUGUUUUAAUAGUAGUAACAGAAAAAUGAAGCUGAUGCAUUUUACCAUAUUGACAAGCAUCACAAAAACUAAUAACUUGGUUCGAGAGACAAUGUGAGGGAAGAUUUUUCACAAUUGUUUGCAAAGCAUGUUUAUUUGGAUGACCAUAUCUAUUAUGUAACAACUGAACUGAUAUUUUGCCAACUCUAGAAGAAUUUCCAGAGACAGAACAUGAAAAAACUUCAGAAGUAUCUACAUUAUUCAAUUUUGACACAUGAUUGUUUGACUCUUGUAGAGAGUUUACAACUUUAUUAUCAAAACAAAAUGACAACAUGGAACUCGGUUUAGAGAGAUUGGAAUUGUAGGCUGUAGAGUGAAGAGAUGAGACAUCAAGUGACAGUAGCUUGUAAAGACCACCUUCAACAAUCCCCUGUGCCAGCAAAGUUCCCUCCUUCUUGUCCUUAAUAAAGCACAUGGUGGAACAAAAUUCAAUGAUUAUGUUAUUAUCUAAAAGAAGCUUAGAUAUACUGAUGAGGUUUUUGGUUAUUUUAGGAACACACAAAGUAUUGGUUAAGGAUAAAUGUGUGCCAAAAGAAGUGGAAAGAUAAGUGCAGCCAAUAUGUGUGAUAGUGAGACCUUGACCAUUUCCAACAAACAAUAAUUGAGUGCCAUUAUAAGGAUUACCUUCAACCAGAUUUUGCACAUUGUUGGUGAGAUGAUGAGUGGCUCCACUGUCUAGAUACCACCCCUGGUCAGCAACUCCUUCUGAGGUAGUCACAUAAGCAGAUCUCGGCCCUUGAUUCUGCAUUUGUGAAUGUGGAAUAAAAUUUCUAUUAAAUCUGUUCUUACAAUCAACAGCUGAAUGAUUUGGUUUAAAGCAAAUUUGGCAGGUAAUGUGUCCUCUGCCACCUCCUCUACCAAAGCCACCAGAGAAUCCCAGAUUUCCACCAUUAAAACCACCAUUUCCAGCAAAUCCACCAGUAUUUCCAUUAUAGCCACCAGUAUUUCCAUUAGAGCCACCUCCUCUUCCUUGAUUUCCAAACCAGCCUCUCCCUGAGUUUUGUUCCAUAAAGCCACCUCUGCCAGAUCCAUAAUCUCCUCUAUUAUUGAAGUUACCAUUCUCAUUUCUAUUCACAAAAUUUCCAUUCCAAUUUCCCUGGUUGUUGGUAUUCCAAUUAGCAUUAUUUCCUGACUUCUUCUGAUUAUUACCAGUUUGAGCCAUAUUAGCAGUAAAAUUCAACUUAGUUUCCUUAGCUGCACUCGAAUGAUUACUCUCAAGUCUAGUUUCAUGAGAUAGCAACAUAGAAUAAGCUUCAUUGAUGCUCAUUUUAAGAACAUUUGCCUCAAUAUAGACUACAACAGGAUAAUAAGGCUGUCCUAGACCUGAGAUCAAAUGUGUAACGAAGUCAAGAGAACUAACUGGACUUCCAGCCAUUGCUAAUUCAUCAGUUACUGACCUUAGUUUACAAAAGUAUUCAGUGAUUGUCAUGGAUCCUUUCUUAAGGUUAUUUAGCAACAUCUAUAAAUGCACUUUCUUAGCUACGGUUUCAGAUCCAAAUUGUUCCUCUAAACUCAUCCAAAGCUCUCGAGAGGUUUUAGAAUUUACCACAAUGCUCAAGAUCUCCACACUGAUUGAAGAUAAAAGCCAGCUCAGGAUCAUCUGAUCUUGUCUUUUCCAAGCAGUGUAAGCAGAAUUUUCUGAGAUGAUUGCAGCCUCUGUGCUUGUUGAUUCACCAGGCAGUAGCUGAUUUGGACAGGUACGUGAUCCAUCAAGGAAUCCUUCUAGAUCAUUUGCUCGAAUGGCUGAGAGGAUCUGAGAUUUCCAUAUAGUGUAAUUUGAUCUGUCAAGCUUGAGUGGAGUUGCGAAAGUAAAUGUUGAAAUUGCGGAAGAAACAUUUGUACUAAGACUUGAAGAAGCCAUGAACUAGAAAUUAUUCAAGGCUCUAAUACCAAAUUAGAAAUUGAUCAGCUGACUUGGAGUGUUUGUUUACAAAGAAAAUUCAAUUGAAAGUGAGAGAAAAUUCAUUAAAGAGAAUACGUUUUUAUUAACUCACUAACAAAAUGAGAUUACAAGUUUCUAUACCGCUUCUCAGAAUCUUCUUAACAGAUACAUCAUUUUCACGUGUUUGUUAACUUCCUAAGAAACAGAAUAACAAACUUAAACAAGCUAACAAAUGAUUUGCUGACUGGACUGCCACGUCACUAUAACUAACUUAACUAAUUCAAACUGUCAUUAUCAACACAUAUUCUUAUCAUUGAUCAGUUAGCUUCAGGGAGUCGAGUGAUAAUAACAACAAGGGAUAAACAAGUUCUUGAAAAUUGUUGGGUCAAUCAAAUAUAUCGGAUGAAGGAAUUAAUAGAUGCUGAUGCUCAUAAGCUUUUCUGUCAGUGUGCUUUUAGAGGAGGCCAUCUCGACGCAAGUUACACAGAGGUCACACCCAAGGCAAUAAAAUAUGUGCACGGAGUUCCUUUAGCUCUUAAAGUUUUGGGUCGCCAUCUAUGCGAAAGGAGCAAAGAGGUAUGGGAAAGUGCAAUGAGAAAACUGGAAAUAGUUCCUCACAUGGAUACCCAGAAGGUGUUAAAAAUCAGUUAUGAUAGCUUGGAUGACUCUCAGAAGAAUGUUUUUCUAGAUAUUGCAUGUUACUUGGAAGGAAAGGAUAGAGAUGUGGUGAUAAGCUUUUUUGAUGCCAGUGGCUUUGAAGCUAAAAUAGAGUUGAGUGUUCUUGAAGGUAAGUCUCUCAUAACUUGCUCCGAUAAUCAAAUAAGAAUGCAUGACUUGCUACGAGAUAUGGGAAGAGAAAUUGUUCGAAAUGAAUCUAUCGAUCAUCUAGGAAAGCACAGUAGGUUGUGGCAUCAUAAUGAUAUUUGUGAAGUUUUGAAGGAAGAUACAGUAAGCAAUAAUAAGUUUUCAAUUGUAUCUUGUUUAUGUUACAUUUAUAUUAGUAGUUUGUCUGAAUUUUUCUUUUUGAAUAAGAAUAGCAUUAAUACAACUUAAAAUUAACUGAAAAAUAAUAUUAAAAAAUUGGUAAAUAAAAUAGAUAGAUCCGAUGUUUUCCCACCUCAGUUUGAAACAUGCCUCUAAAAUUCCCAGCAAACUAGCGCUUUCAGAGAGAGACCCCCAAAAAGGGAAAAAAAAAAAAACCUCAAUCUUAUUGCAUUUCCUUUUCAACUCAAGCUCUGCCCCUAUCCUUAUUUUUCAUAAAAAAAAAUUGAUUGAAUUAAUUUUACAGUUUACAUAUUAAGCAUUUUCUUGAAUUUUCUAUUUUACACUUCCUAAAAGCCUUACCCAAAUAGUUUAUUAUAAAGUGAUUGUAAUAUCUCUAUUUUGGUUUGACGGCUUAAAAAUAAUUGUUUAUUCGUUUGCUUUAAUUAUAUACCAACUUAUGAUCUCCUAUUUGAUUGUUAGGGAACUGAGGUGCUCUAGGGUAUCUCCUUGGAUAUGAAUAAAGUCAAUAGAGAGAUACACAUGAAUUCCAAUGCUUUCUCAAGGAUGCCUAAAUUGAGAUUCUUGAGAUUUUAUGGAGAUAAGAACAAAUGUAUGGUGUCUCAUUUGGAGGGUGUGCCAUUUCCUGAAGUGAGGCACCUCGAGUGGCCUCAAUGUCCUUUGAAAACGUUGAAUAUUUGUGCGGAGAAACUUGUUUCACUUAAAAUGCCUUGCAGCAAAGUCAAACAACUUUGGGAUGAUGUUCGGGUAUAUAUUUAUUCGAAAUUCUUUCAGUAAUAAAUUCUAAAUACAAUUGAUGCUAUAAUAAUAUAUGUGAUGGUGUCUGUUUAUUUAUAAAGAUAGUAAUAAUAAUAAUAAUAAUAAUAAUAAUAAUUUUUUGGGGUACAGGAUCUUGUUAACUUAAAAGAAAUAGAUCUCAGUGGAUCCGAGUCAUUAACGAAACUUCCAGACUUGUCACGGGCCGAAAAUCUUAAGAUUCUGAGGUUAGACGACUGUUUAAGUUUGACGGAGACUCACUCAUCUAUUCAAUAUCUAAAUAAACUUGAAUUUCUUACUCUAGAAAUGUGCAAAAGCCUGACGAGUCUUCCAACUGGCAUUCAUUCGAAAUAUCUCAAGAUACUUAAUCUUUGGGGUUGUUCAAAUUUGAAUAACUUCCCAGAGAUCAAAUCUUGUCAUAUAUGUAUUUUUGAGUUAGCAAAAGUUGGAAUCAAAGAACUGCCCUCAUCCAUCGAGUGCCUAUCCAAUCUGCGAGAACUACUUAUUAUGGACUGUUCUGAGCUUGAGAGCAUCUCGAGUAGCAUAUUUAAGUUGAAGUCUCUUAAAUCUAUUGUAAUCUCUCAUUGUUCAAAUUUUAAGAGGUUUCUAGAGAUCAAAGAACUGCCCUCAUCCAUCGAGUGCCUAUCCAAUCUGCGAGAACUACUUAUUAUGGACUGUUCUGAGCUUGAGAGCAUCUCGAGUAGCAUAUUUAAGUUGAAGUCUCUUAAAUCUAUUGUAAUCUCUCAUUGUUCAAAUUUUAAGAGGUUUCUAGAGAUCAAAGAACUGCCCUCAUCCAUCGAGUGCCUAUCCAAUCUGCGAGAACUACUUAUUAUGGACUGUUCUGAGCUUGAGAGCAUCUCGAGUAGCAUAUUUAAGUUGAAGUCUCUUAAAUCUAUUGUAAUCUCUCAUUGUUCAAAUUUUAAGAGGUUUCUAGAGAUCAAAGACCUUGCAGAGGUUGACCGUUGAUAGAACUGCUAUAAGAGAAGUACCAGAAAGCCUCGGUCAGUUAGCCAUAUUACGUCGGUUGAAAUUGACUAACUGUUCAGGGCUUGAGAUCAUCUCAAGUAGCAUAUUUAAGUUGAAGUCUCUUAAAUCUAUUGUAAUCUCUCAUUGUUCAAAUUUUAAGAGGUUUCUAGAGAUCCCAUCUGGUAAUACAGAUGGAAGUACUAGAAUUGAGCGACUAGCAUCAUCUAAGUUGAUAUUGGAGGGAUGUUCAAGUCGCCAGAGUCUCCCAAUAGACAUGUUUUCGUUCAAAUCUCUUCUUUCUAUUAAAAUCGUUCAUUGCCCAAAUAUUGAGUCUCCCAAGCAGCCUGUGUAUGUUCAAAUCUCUGAAAUAUCUUGAAAUUGUCGAUUGCCAAAAUUUCAAGAGAUUGCCUGAUGAACUUGGAAAUUUAAAAGUCUUGAAGAGGUUGACCAUUGAUGGAACUGCUAUAAGAGAAGUACCGAAAAGCCUCAGUCAGUUAGCCAUAUUACGUUGGUUGAAAUUGACUAACUGUUCAGGCCUUGGGAGAAUCUUGAGUAGCAUAUUUAAGUUGAAGUCUCUUAAAUCUAUUGAAAUCUCUAAUUGUUCAAAUUUUAAGAGGUUUCUGAAGAUCCCAUCUUGUAAUAUAGAUGGAGGUACACGAAUUGAGCGACUAGCAUCUUUUAAGUUGAGAUUGGAGUAAUGUUCAAGUCUUCAGAGUCUCCCAAGCAGCCUGUGUAUGGUAAAAAAUCUGACAUCUCUUAAAAUCAUUGAUUGCCAAAAAUUCAAGAGACUGCCUAAUGAGAUUGGAAAUUCAAAGUGCUUGACGGUGCUGAUAGUUAAAGGAACAGCUAUAAGAGAAGUACCAGAAAGCCUUGGUCAGUUAUCCUCACUAGAAAGUUUGGUACUAUCUAAUAACAAAUUAGAGAGAUUACCAGAAAGCUUCAAUCAGUUAUCCUCACUAGAAUAUUUGCAACUAUUCGAAAACAGUUUGGAGGGAAUACCAGAAUACCUAAGGAGUCUUCCAAGUAAGUUGACAUCGCUCAAUUUAUCUAUUGACUUGAGAUAUUGUUUGAAAUUGGACCCGAAUGAGCUCAGUGAAAUCGUCAAAGAUGGGUGGAUGAAGCAGGUGUGUCUCUUAACUCACUCCUUUCAUUCUAUUUUCUGUUUACUUUAAUUCAAGUUAUCAUUAUUUUUCAAAAAUUAAUAAUUUUUUAUUUUUGUGUUGCAGUCGUUUGAUGGUAACAUUGGGAUCGCUAAAAGUAUGUAUUUCCCUGGGAAUGAAAUUCCAAAAUGGUUUAGGUAUCAAAGUAUGGGAUCUUCUGUAACCUUGAAGACGCCACCAACAGAUUUCUUAAAUAAUAAAAUAUUAGUAGGCUUUGCUUUUUGCAUUGUAGUAGCAUUUCCAGCCUCAGAGUACUUUGAGUAUCAAAUCCCAAGGAAAUCUCGACCGUCGGUCUUUCGGAAGUAUAAAGUGUUCUGUGAUUGGAAACACAAAUCCCAAGGAAAUCUCGACCGUCGGUCUUUGGGGACAAUUAGUUAUGUUGGGUCAGAUCAUGUGUUUUUGGGAUCUUAUUUAUGAGUCAACCUACCAUGCAGCGCUGUAUCUGAUACAGCGCAUGCAUGCAACCGGUACAACCGGUUUUUAACCGGAUAAUAUAAUGAAAAUUAUGUUUUUAUUUGUUUUUAGUGUGAAAAAUUUAUGAAAGAUUUUGAAAAAAAAAGAUAAAAUUGUAAUUAAAUGAGGAAAAAGAUUGUAAUAAUUUUAAAUUUAAAAAUAGUACAAAAAAUAUAAAUAUAUCAUAAAAUUAUUAUAUUCCUACUUAUUUUGUCACAUUCCAAUAUUUAUAAUGCAUAUUUCAAGUUUACUUUUUAAAUUCCUAUUUUUCGUGGUUAUUUAUCUAAAUUUUAGUACGCUGUUUCAACUCGUUUUCCCACUAGUUUUUGGUUUCAUAUAUCCACUCUUUUCAUUAACUUCCAGCUUUUUAGGUGUAUAUUUCAAGUUUAUUUUUAUAUCUCUGUAAUGUAUUAAACUUUAUCUUUUUUUUAGAAAAUUGUUCUGAUUUAUUUUUCUACCACUUUUUGGUUCUAUAUUUCUACUAUUUUUAUUGAAUUUCAAUAUUUUGGGUAAAUAUAUCAAGUUUAGUUUUUAUAUCCUUACUUCUCAUUUGAAUUUAUUAAAUUCUUGGUAAAUUAUUUCAACUUUUGGGUUAAUUUUUUCAACUCUUGUUCCUACCACUUUUUAGUUCUAUAUUCCUACUCUUUUUAUUGAAUUCCAAAAUUUUGUUUGGAUAUUUCAAGUUCAAUUUCUAGAUCCCUACUUUCCGUUGGAAUUUAUCAAAUUUUUGAUAAGUUAUUUCAACUCAUUUUUCCAUCAGUUAUUAGUUCUUUCAUUAAAUUUCUAGUUUUCAGGUUGAUAUUUCAAGUUUAGUUUUUAAUCUCAAUAGUCUAUUAGACUUUAUCUAAUUAUUGCUAAGUUGUUCCAACUUAUUUUUCCACUACUUUUGGUUCAAUAUUCCUACUAUUUUUAUUGAAUUCCAAUAUUUUGGGUAAAUCUAUUAAAUUUGCUUUUUAGAUCCCUACUUCGCGUUUAAAUUUAUCAAAUUAUUGUUAAGUUAUUUCAAUUUUUAGGUUAACUUCUUCCACUCUUAUUUCACCACUUUUUGGUUCUAUAUUCCAACUAUUUUCAUUGAAUUCUAACAUUUUGCUUGGAUAUUUCAGGUUUAUUUUCUAGAUCUCAACCAGGGAUGGCAAAAUCCGAGUCCGGGUCCGGGUUUUGCCUUCCCAAUUCCGGACCCGGACGAUAAAUUUUAAUACCAGACUCGGAUGCAAACCCGGAUAUUUUUCAUCCGGGUCCGGACCGGGUUAAACCCAAAAAAAUCCGAGUUUCCGGAUUCCAGGUUUAUAACCCGGAUGAUUGCUAAAAGAUGCAAUUUCCCAUCUCUUUCUUCAGUGAAGAAUUCCUUUCUAAUCUUCUAUCUAUUAACACCAAUAAUGAAAAAUAAUUCAAAAUCAAAUACUUAGAAAUAAAAUCCAAGAUAACAUAUUACACAAAUUUAAUUAUCAAAGAUAAUCAUGAUGUCUCAACCAUGAUGAUGACAAAUUUGGCAAUGAAUGAUGAUGACAAAUUGGGCUUUGUGGGGUUAGGUCAAGAAAAGGGGAAGGAUAAAUGGCGGCUGAUUUUUUUUUUUCCUUCCAAAAAGCAAAUGAACAAACAACUGGGAAGGUGUAAAUGAAGAAACAGAGACAAACGCAUUCAUAAGUGCCCGUCAAUUUAUCAACAAAGAACUUGUCGAGGACAAAGCAAAACACCAGGGGGUGGAAGUGUUGGCGGCCAAAUCGAGAUCCCGAUUUGCGAAGGUGGACAAACGGAAACGGCGGCCAAAACUCAUGACAUAGCUGGACAAACAGCAGCUGAUGAUGAAGAUGAAGAUGAACACGAACACGACGAAACGAUGAUGAGCAACGAUGAUGAUUUGUUGAAAAGAAGGGCUAAAGAGAGAUAGAGGAAAUGUCUGGGUUUGGUUUGGCUGCCGUGGCUGUGGAAGGGCAUUAGGGCUGAUUUUUUCUAAUUUUUUUUUAUUUUAAAAUGAUUUAAAAAUUAAUAUUAAAAUAUUUAUCCGGGUCCGGGUUCCGGAUAUGUGGGUUUAUCCAAAUUCGGACCCGGACCCGGAAACGUCCGGGUUGAAAAUUUUGAAUCCGGAUACCGGAUUUUAUUUACUCCGAUACGGGUUAAACCCGCCCCGGAUUUUUCGGGUUCAUCCGGGUCCGGGUUAAAUUGCCAUCCCUAAUCUCAACUACUUGUUAAACUUUAUUGGAUUCUUGUUAACUUCUUCAAACUUUUAGGUUAUGCUCUUCAACUCUUGUUUCCACCAUUUUUUUGUUCUAUAUUUCUACUCUUUUUACUUAAUUUCAAUAUUUUUUGUGAAUGUUUCGAGUUUAUUUUUUUAUCCCUAAUUGUUGUUGGAUUUAUCAGAUUUUUGGUAAUUCUUUCCGAGUUUUAGGUUAAGCUUUUCAACUCUUUUUUCCACCACUUUUUGGUUUUAUAUUCCUACUCUUUUCAUUGAAUUCCAAUAUUUUACAUAGAUGUUUCAAGUUCAUUUUUUAAAUCAUAUUUAUUGUUGAAGUUUAUCAACUGCUGUACGGCCAAGGCGGAUGUACGGUACAGCAGCGUUGGAAUUUAUCAAAUUUUUGAUAAGUUNNNNNNNNNNNNNNNNNNNNNNNNNNNNNNNNNNNNNNNNNNNNNNNNNNNNNNNNNNNNNNNNNNNNNNNNNNNNNNNNNNNNNNNNNNNNNNNNNNNNNNNNNNNNNNNNNNNNNNNNNNNNNNNNNNNNNNNNNNNNNNNNNNNNNNNNNNNNNNNNNNNNNNNNNNNNNNNNNNNNNNNNNNNNNNNNNNNNNNNNNNNNNNNNNNNNNNNNNNNNNNNNNNNNNNNNNUAUUGAAUUCCAACAUCUGGGUGAAUGUUUCCAGUUUAUUUUUUAGAUCUCUAUUUUUCAUUGGAAUUUAUCAAACUCUUGUUAAGCCAUUCCAACUUUGGGGUUAUAUUUUUCCACUCCUUUUUCACCAUUUAUUGGUUCUAUGUUCCUAUUCUUUUUAUUGAAUUUCAACAUUUGGGUAAAUAUAUCAAGCUCUGUUUUCAGAUCCCUAUUUUCUAUUAAAAUUUAUCAAAUUCUUUGUAAGUUGUUCCAACUUUUGGGCCAACGUUUUCAACUUAUUUUCUUACCAAAUUUUGGUCCUAUAUUCCUACUCUUUUUUAAGUUUGUUUUUAAAAUCUCUAGUUUUCAUUAGAAUUUAUCAAAUUCUUUGUAAGUUGUUCUAACUAUUGUGUUAACCUCUUCAACUCUUUUUUUCCACGAUACUAUAUUCAUACUCUUUUUAUUGAAUUCCAACAUUUAGGUGAAUGUUUCAAGUUUAUCUUUCAGAUCACUACUUUUCAUUGGAAUUUAUCAAACUCUUAUGAAGUUAUUCCAACUUUUAAGUUCUGCUUUUCCACUCCUUUUUCCAUCAUUUUUUGGUUCUAUAUUCCCACUUUUUGUAUUGAAUUCCAAUAUUUUGAUUAGAUGUUUCAAGUUCAACAUUUGGGUAAAUAUAUCAAGCUCUGUUUUCAGAUCCCUAUUUUCUAUUAAAAUUUAUCAAAUUCUUUGUAAGUUGUUCCAACUUUUGGGCCAACGUUUUCAACUUAUUUUCUUACCAAAUUUUGGUCCUAUAUUCCUACUCUUUUUAUUAAAUUCCAAUAUUUGAGUAAAUGCUUCAACUUUAUUUUUUAGUUCUCUACUUUUCAUUAGAAUUUAUUAAAUUCUUGUCAAGUUGUUUCAAUUUAUGUGUUAAGCACUUCCACUCAUUUCCUACAAUAUAUUAGUUUUAUAUUCCUACUCUUUUAAUUGAAUUUCAAUAUUUUAUGUGGAUGUUUCAAGUUUAUUUUCCAGAUCCCUAUUCAUUGUUGGAAUUUAUCAGAUUAUUGGUAGAUACUUACAACUUUUGGGUUAAGUUCUUCAACUAUUAUUACCACCACGAUUUGGUUAUAUAUUCCUACUUCUUUUAUACUAAAUUCCAAUAUUCUUGGUUAAUAUUUCAAGUUCAUUUUUAAGAUCUUCACUUCUCAUUGGAAUUCAUCAAAUUCUUUGUAAGUUGUUCCAACUAUUGUGUUAACCUCUUCAACUCUUUUUCCACGAUACUAUAUUCCUACUCUUUUUAUUGAAUUCCAACAUUUAGGUGAAUGUUUCAAGUUUAUUUUUCGGAUCUCUACUUUUCAUUGGAAUUUAUCAAACUCUUAUCAAGUUAUUCCAACUUUUAAGUUAUGCUCUUCCACUCCUUUUUCCACCAUUUUUUGGUUCUAUAUUCCCACUCUUUGUAUUGAAUUCCAAUAUUUUAAUUAGAUGUUUCAAGUUUAUUUUUUAUAUUCCUACUUUCUUUUAAUCAAUUUCAACUUUAUUUUCAAGAUUUUUUGGUUACAUAUUCUAACUCUUUUAAGUGUAUUCCAAUAUUUUGGCUAAUGAUCCAAGUUUACUUCAUAAAUUCAUGAUUUCCGUUAUAAUUUUUCAACUUUUUAGUAAAUUAUUCCCACUUUUAGGUUAAGUUAUUCCUACUCUUUUACACCAUACAAUGGUUUUAUGUUCCUAUUAUUUUCAUUAUAUUCCAACACUAUAGAUACAUGUUCCAUGUCCUUUUUUUCCACUAAUAAUAAUAUUACUUUUUUAAAAUAACAACAAUAUCAGUAAGGCCAAUUAUAUAUAACCCCUUAUUAUUUUAACAAAUAUCAAUUUACUAUAAAAUACUGAAAUUUUUUUUAUUGCAACCCUUUAUCAUUUUCAACGUUUUGGGUCCUUAAUUUAAUUCCUUUUUUUUUUAAUCUUCGUUACUUCAUGAGUUCUUAUGAAUUUGAAUGUAUAUAUACUUAAGCUUUUAAUCUUUAUACAUAUUUAUUAUCAUUUAAUCAUUUUAAUUAAUAGUAUUUAGUUAUAUUUAAAAAAAAAUUAUGCAUUUAUUUCCAUCUUUCUCUUUACUUUUCAAACUAAAUGCUUUAAUUUUUCAUAACUUCAACGGUAUAUAAAUAAAUAACAAUUGAGAAUGAUUGCAAUUGUAAAUGAAAUUAUCAUGCCCUAUUAAGUUAUCCAGUGCACUAAAAAAUUAACCAAAUCAAAAUUUUCAUCCAUUUGUAUAUAAGAAUUUUUUACAAGCUUCUGGGAAAAUAAUUUUUGUAUCCAUUCGUUUAAAUUUUUUUCAUUCUAUUUCUUUUCAAAUAAUUAAUUUCUUUGAAUUCAACCAAAAUUCAUUUUAACAGCUUUGCAUGCAAUUGUUAUACUCCUCAAACAUUUUAUUUAGUUAUUAAACUGCUGUACCGUACAUCCGCCUUGGCCGUACAGCAGUCCAAUAUUUUUUGUGAAUGUUUNNNNNNNNNNNNNNNNNNNNNNNNNNNNNNNNNNNNNNNNNNNNNNNNNNNNNNNNNNNNNNNNNNNNNNNNNNNNNNNNNNNNNNNNNNNNNNNNNNNNNNNNNNNNNNNNNNNNNNNNNNNNNNNNNNNNNNNNNNNNNNNNNNNNNNNNNNNNNNNNNNNNNNNNNNNNNNNNNNNNNNNNNNNNNNNNNNNNNNNNNNNNNNNNNNNNNNNNNNNNNNNNNNNNNNNNNNNNNNNNNNNNNNNNNNNNNNNNNNNNNNNNNNNNNNNNNNNNNNNNNNNNNNNCCAAAAUAUUUUAAAUUAAUAAAAUUGAAAUUAAUAAAAUUGAUGCUAAUUUAUUUGUAUUAAAACAUCAUUUUUUUCUAUCAUUUCAACUUGAUUAGAUUUCUUUUUUUUUUUUUAACGUAAUUUUGUUUAUACUUACUUUUGAUGUUUCGAUAUGUUACACCAAAAUAUACUUUUUUAUCUCAAAAAUAAAAGUAUAUUAAGUCAAUUAUUCAAUUACAAAAUUAGUUCUUCAAUUUUUCUGACUUGACUAAAAUUAUUUUUAAAAGUUUUUUACAGCUUAAUUUGGUACUAAGAGAAUAUCACUUUUUAUUUUUAACAUCACUUUAAUUGUUGAAUUUGGCAUGUCUUGAUUGGAAUGGUAGGUAAAAAAACUUAACCAAAUCAAAAUUUUCAUCCAUUUGUUUAUAAGAAUUUUUGUGCACCAAAAAUUUAGGUAAACUAAAACUUCCAUUCAUUUAAACAGAUGUAAUAAGACAAUUAGAAUUUUUCACAAGCUUGUGACCAAAUAGCUUCACAAAAUUAAAUCAAUUUACAGCUUCCACAAACUAAGACUCAAUUUAAAAAAAUCGUUAUUCAUUAGUUUGAGAGAUUGUUUUAAUCAUUAAUUUGAUAAUCCAUACUUGAUCUUUUGACCUCUACAUAAACAUUUGUUCAGUAGAUAUCAUAUAAAAAAUAACAAGUAAAUGUUUCUUUAUUUGAAAAUAGCAACUCAAAUCAUAUUACAUGUUACAACUAUAAUCCAAGGAAUUAAGACAAGCAACAAAAUCCAAUAAACAAUAAAGCAAAUAAAAUUAAAUCUAACAAUCAAACAACUACAAUUUCAACUGAAACAUUAGAGACUAUGCAAGUUUUAUAUCAUUAAAAUAUCUCCUAUAGCUAAAAGAAAAAUGCUAAUCAAUUACAUUGGCAAAAAUACUCAAUUAAAAUUGAAUCUUCUUCGCAAUGCUGAAACACUAGUUGAAGUUCCCAUUAGUAAUAUCACUGAAAUAUAAUCGAAACUUUAGACAUUACAGAAUUACUUAAAAAUAUACAAAAAAGGAGUAGAUUACUUUACAAUUCCUAAGAUAUUGUAAUACCACAAAUAUAACAAAUUAAAAUAACAAGAGUUCAAUCUCUAAUUUUCUACCAUUUCCAUUCAUGCUAUGAAUUAUUGUUUCAUAUCAUAUUUUUAUUUACUCCUAUGAUUAAAGAAAACUGUAAUGAGCAUAUCAAAAUCCUCCACAUGAAAAAUUAAAGAUAGAAACUCAAGAAAAAAAAUGGAAAAAGAAUGAAAAAUGGGAGAGGCUGCAACAAAUGACUGAACAUGGACAGCAUUCAUAUCAGGAAGCAAACAAAUGUUUAUGCAAAAUAAUUUAAGAAAUAUUAAGGAGCCACAAAACAAAGUCAUCACAGCUAAUUCAAAUAAUCGAAACCAUAUCUCAAUCCAUAAACAAUGACACAAGAGGUUACAUAAAAUUAGAGGAAAAAAGACAGUGCUACCAGUUCAAGCACUAGAGAGUGGAGACUGAAAUAGAAAUUGAAAGGCGGAGACACAAAUUAAUUUGGCAUCACUUCCAAAUUAUCCAUCACCAUGUAAGUCACCAUGCAUUAGCCAUCCUCACUUUUCUGGUUUUUAAGAAUCCUUACCAAGCUUUCACAGCUUGAGCAAAUUGUCAUUUUUUCAUUUUAAGACAAUAAAUAAGAUGAAGAUAAAACCUUCUGCUUUGCGACAUUUUGUCCUUAUUGGAAAAGGGCUUACUUGCUCCUCUAACCUACAAUUUUUCCAAAGUAAUAAGAUUUUAGAAAAUACCCAUGAUCAAUUGUAAACUCAAAGCUUCAUACUUAAUCCAUCAAAAAUAUAGAGCAAUUACUCAAACACCUAUACUUAAUCGAUCAAAAUACAGAUCAAGGAUAUACAAAAAGAAAAGAUUAAUGUGUCAUAAAAAGAUAUUCCCAAUAUUUUGAAUUAAUUAGAGACUAAGAACUAUGGACAACAAGCAUAAACCUGGCAGUAAUGACAUUUGAUAAGCAUGUCCAGGGCAUUACCCAAGUGAUAUUAGCAAAAGUAAAUCUUGAUAAAACAUUUCCAAAGACAAAGAGUCAAAUACAAUGGCAACCCUCACCACCCAUGAAUUCUUACAUACACAUUAAAAUUAAAUCUCAGCUUUUUUAUAUUAGAAAUUAGUAACCAGUCUCAUCUGAAUUCUGUAGUAUUUCCUACUUUAGAUCAAUUUGUAGUAUGUUGUACGUUUAUGCUUGGCCUUAAUGAUUACCAUGGUCAGUCUGCUGUACCGUACAUCCGCCUUGGCCGUACAGCAGAGUUCUUCAAUUUUUCUGACUUGACUAAAAUUACCAUGGUCAGUAAAGAAUUAGUGAAAUAAAAUAAUUGAACUUAAAAGCACUUGUUAGAAAGAAAUGGAUGCUAAAUUACUAAAUUACUAAUACACACCUAAAGAUCCAUGGUCAUGCUUAUUCUAUAUAUAUUAAAAAAAAAUCAAAAUGUGUGUGUGUGUUUUUAAUAACACAUCAUCAUUGAUAAAACAAACCUCAACAACCAAGUCUAUAACACAUCAUCACUGAUAAAAGAAGCCUCAACAAUCAAGCCUACAUAAACAAGAAUUUAUGAAGAUAUAAAUAAUACAGAAUUACUGGCAAGCCUAUAUAACCCAAACAAAUCACUUUUGGCUAUGUGGUUGAUAAAAUAAGAAUUUAGGCAUUAAAUCAUUUGUAAAUUAAGAUGCAAAAUAUCAAGUGCACAAUCAAUUUACUUCUUCUAAUCAUACUGCAUAGGAAUAAAACUUUGUAUCGUUUAGAGUACCAAAAUUCCAUCUUGAAGAUGCAAUUAAAGUGAACAACUCAAAACAAAUUAAAUGAAACUCUAAACUAAUUAAACAAGCAUUAAAUCAAAAUCUAACCGUGGUGUCACUAGAGGAAAUACCUAAAUUUCGAGAAUCAAAGUUGAUGAAAGCUGAAAGGCUUCUGUUUGUUCUUCGUUCUUCAAGAAUUAAAGACGAAAUUAAAAAAUGAGAGCUGUAAAUUGAGAAGAAGUGUUGAAUCACUAAUUAGAAGUUAUUAUUAAAAUGAAAUUGAUGAGAUUUUUGUUCUUUAUUGUUAGAAAAGAAAGAGAGCAACCUUCACCCUUUGAUUCAACUCGCUAGUCUAGGGUUUGUGUGCAGAGAGAGUUCAUGGAGGAAAGUGACAAGACGGUGAGGGCUGGUGCGCUGGUGGCUGAUAUGCAGGACGAGGACGGCGACGGGGACGGCGACGGCGACGGAAACGGCGACUGCGAUCUAGUGCCGUUGGAACGAAGAUGGCGCGACUACUAGGAUGGUGGCUGGUUUGUGAUGCUUGAGCACGGCUAAGGCGAGGGCCUAGGAUUUUCAACAAUAUGAAUUACUAAAGUGUUUAUAUUUUCGCGGUAAAAAAGAAAAGCUAUAUAAGGUUUUCAAUUUUAUAUAGGAAAAAAUUUCAAAAAAAUUAAAAUUUAAUAAAUCAUUCUUUCAUAUUGGCGGUAGUUUUACCGCCUAAAUCAAACCUUAUUACAUUUCAUUCUAAAUGUUUAUUAUAGUAAUACAAAUAAAAAUAUCAAAAAAUUAUUAAUACGAAUCAAUUUAAUAAUAUUAUCCUUAUACAAUUGGAUACAUAAUUUAUAUUCUAUCUGAUGACUUAUUUUUAUAUGUUUAUAUUUCAAUGAUACUUGAUUUUAUAAUCUACCAAUAUUGUAAUAAUUUUGUAACACUAAUAAAUGAAUUGAACAACAUUUAGUAUACAAAUAAUAUAACGAAAUAUAAUAUUGUACAUUACUCAAAUAAUUUGAUUUAAUUUAAAAACGUUUCUAAAUUAUUCAAUAUUAGUAGUAUUUAGAUUGUAAUUACCCAAGGUUAUGACAAAAAGUAUAUUAAUACCUCAUGAUUUAGUGAAACUGUUAUAUAAAUCUUGGUUUGAAUAAUUAUGUUCAUAUGGAAUACCGGUGGGUCACUUUAGCUAAAGGACAUAAUUGUCUAAAAAGAGGAAUAUGUGAUUAGUUUUUAAAAUAAUAAGGGUCUUCGAGAUAAUUUCACAAAACACGGGCUCGUUGUUAUCUCUUUUUCUAAUAAUUACAAUGCAAUGUGAAUAAGAAUUGUAAUUAUAAUUAACAAUAUUACUCAGCUCCAAGGGAACGGUUGGAUGGUUUUUUCAUUUAUUGCUACCGAGUAAAACUCAUGAGAGAUUGUAAGAGUUAAAAAGUUAUAUUUGUCCUCUCCCAACCAUACCCCUAAAAUAAUAAUAUUAAAUUAAAUAUUACUAAAAAAAUAAUAAUGUCAUAACUGAAUUUAGUUUAAUCGAAUUAAUAUUGACCAAGUGCUAGCCAUGAUAGUUAUUAACAACUUUUUUUUAAUAUUGAUUAUACAUCAAAUUAUCACAAACGAGAGAUAUUUCUGUUCUACUCGCAUUUCGCAAGGGAAAAAGACUUGCAAAUAACUCCACACGAUCAUGCAUAAUGUUUAAUUGAGAGAGUUUGAGUCCAUGAGAUCUCAAACCCUACCGUCACAAUCCUGCUUAACUGUGAGGGUAGAGAUUCACCGCUAGGCUAAAGGUCCAUUGGAGUUAUUAACAACAUAAAAAAAGGAAAAGACUUAGGUGGCGUUUGUUUUUUUGUCUGAAAUCUGAAUAGAUCUGAAUUAGUCUGAAUUCUGAAUAGGUCUGAAUGUCUGAAUCUGAAUAAUAUGUUUGUUUUUUCAUCUGAAUAUCAGAAAAUAAGUAUUAAGUUGUUUGUUUUUUUUUAACUUAAAAAGCUGAAAAUAUGUACUUUUACAUUUGUAUCCUUAUUAAAUUUGAAUGUCAAAUAAAUAAUAUAUUAAAUACCACAAUAUUUUAACAUUUAUAAGUAAAACUAUAUUCAAGUGAAUACAUAAUUAUUUUAAAAUUUUAAUCUGCUGUACGGCCAAGGCGGAUGUACGGUACAGCAGAAAAUAUGUACUUUUACAUUUGUAUCCUUAUUAAAUUUGAAUGUCAAAUAAAUAAUAUAUUAAAUACCACAAUAUUUUAACAUUUAUAAGUAAAAUUAUAUUCAAGUGAAUACAUAAUUAUUUUGGAAUUUUAAUAUAUAAAAUACCAUAAAUUUCAAUUUUAUCGUAUAUAAUAUAAGAAAGAAAAAACAAUGAUAUUUUUAUGUGGGGUAAAUACCUAUGGGUGAGUUUUGGGAUAGAUAUGAAAAAUAAAUUAUAAAACAUGGAUAUUUUUGACAUUAGCAAGUAAUUGACUUAAUUCAGAUUUCUCCAUUAAGUAAAAAGCCAAAAAAAUUAGCUUAUUUUAUUAAGUCAAAAUUAUCUAAAAAGUCUCAUUAAGUUAUAAAAACAAACACCUCUAAUUAACUUAAUUAAUUAAGUUAAGUCACUUUAAGUCAUUAAGUUAAAAAACAAACGACACCUUAGUGUAUGAAUUAUGAUAUCAUUAAUCACAAUAACACUAAUAUAAAUAGAUUAAAAAUUAACAAUACGUACUUAAUUGUCCAUUACAAGUAUUUGAAGAAAUUAUUGUGACUUAAAAAUAGUGAAUAAAUAAAAUCAUAAAAGUAAUACAUAAUAUAAUGAAUAAAGUAAUUAAUUUCACAUUAAUUUCUAUGAAUUAAUGUACACAAGAGAUUUUUUUUAGUAUUAUUUAAAAAUAUCAAACAUUAGAUUUUUUAUACUUGUCUAAUAUAAAAAUAUUAUAGGUCUAAAUAUUUAUACUACAUUGUAUUAUCUAAAAAUUGAUAAAAUAUUAUGAUAAUUUUUUAAAUGUAAAACAUUCUUAACUUUAUAAUGUAAUAUUAAAAAUUAAUUGGUCAAUUUAUUAAUUUAUAUUUAAAUAUUAUUCUAAUUAGUAUAGAAGUCCCAUAUAUUUUACGUGUUUUCAUGUUAUUCGGAGAAAAAAAAAAAAGAAAGUAGUGUAUUUUCAAGUUAAAUUGAGGGGUUCUUUCGUAGUGUUCUACUUUGAAAUGAUUAUUUUGAUAUUUAUUUGAAAUGAGGGUAGCUGUAUGAUAAUUACCUUUAAUAUUUACCUGUUUCAUAAUUGAAAUCGGUGGCCGGUUACAUCCGCAAUAAUAAAAAAAAAUAAAGGCAGCUGCAUGACAAACAGAGCUGUAUUACAGGCCGACCCCUUAUUUUAUUGGGUUCUGAGGAUUUAAGUAAGAGAGAUGAUGAGGUCUCUUUUGAUGAGGUCUCUUUCUACAUUUCGCCUAUUUACGGUGAAGAUUGUGAAGUGAAACAAUGUGGGAUUCAUUUUGUGUACGCUCAAGAUUCU
Molecule: long non-coding RNA, 20333 nt
Filed under: Citrus sinensis (sweet orange)
Lineage: Eukaryota; Viridiplantae; Streptophyta; Magnoliopsida; Sapindales; Rutaceae
Description: long non-coding RNA (CSIN_LNC004453)
Source: RNAcentral